Molecule: ribosomal RNA, 272 nt
Filed under: uncultured bacterium
Lineage: Bacteria
Description: partial 16S ribosomal RNA
Source: RNAcentral
CUGCUGCCUCCCGUAGGAGUCUGGUCCGUGUCUCAGUACCAGUGUGGGGGGCCUUCCUCUCAGAACCCCUACGCAUCGUCGCCACGGUGGGCCGUCACCCCGCCGUCUAGCUAAUGCGCCGCAUGCCCAUCCGCCACCGGAUCGCUCCUUUGGCCACCGGAGGAUGCCCUCCGGUGGCGUCACGGGGUAUUAGGCCGCGUUUCCGCGGGUUAUCCCCCUGUGGCGGCCAGGUUGCAUACGUGUUACUCACCCGUGCGCCGGUCGCCGGCGGG